RNAcentral lists this ribosomal RNA (253 nucleotides) under uncultured bacterium. RNAcentral's name for it is "partial 16S ribosomal RNA". It matches the Rfam family "Bacterial small subunit ribosomal RNA", at positions 524 to 776 of the family's 1533-position model. The record is from RNAcentral.
UACAGAGGGUGCAAGCGUUAUUCGGAUUUACUGGGCGUAAAGCGCAUGUAGGCGGUUUUGUAAGUCCGGUGUGAAAGCCCUCGACUCAAUCGGGGAAGUGCACUGGAUACUGCUAAACUAGAGUAUGGGAGAGGAGAGUGGAAUUCCUGGUGUAGAGGUGAAAUUCGUAGAUAUCAGGAGGAACAACAGAGGCGAAGGCGGCUCUCUGGACCAUCACUGACGCUGAGAUGCGAAAGCGUGGGGAGCAAACAGG